UACGUAGGUGGAUAAUUAAGUCAGAGGUGAAAUCCUGCAGCUCAACUGUAGAAUUGCCUUUGAUACUGGUUAUCUUGAGUCAUUAUGAAGUGGUUAGAAUGUGUAGUGUAGCGGUGAAAUGCAUAGAUAUUACACAGAAUACCGAUUGCGAAGGCAGAUCACUAAUAAUGUACUGACACUGAGGGACGAAAGCGUGGGGAGCGAACAGGAUUAGAUACCCUGGUAGUC
This 228-nucleotide ribosomal RNA is filed under the name uncultured bacterium. RNAcentral describes it as "partial 16S ribosomal RNA". It matches the Rfam family "Bacterial small subunit ribosomal RNA", at positions 568 to 795 of the family's 1533-position model. The record is from RNAcentral.